RNAcentral lists this transfer RNA (82 nucleotides) under Laribacter hongkongensis HLHK9. It matches the Rfam family "tRNA". From Rfam's summary of the family: Transfer RNA (tRNA) molecules are approximately 80 nucleotides in length. Their secondary structure includes four short double-helical elements and three loops (D, anti-codon, and T loops). Lineage: Bacteria; Pseudomonadati; Pseudomonadota; Betaproteobacteria; Neisseriales; Aquaspirillaceae. The record is from Rfam by way of RNAcentral.
GCCGGCGUGGUGGAAUUGGUAUACACAGCAGACUUAAAAUCUGCCGCCAACAGGCUUACCGGUUCGAGUCCGGUCGCCGGCA